CGAAGCCCCAGUGAACGGCGGCCGUAACUAUAACGGUCCUAAGGUAGCGAAAUUCCUUGUCAGGUAAGUUCUGACCCGCACGAAUGGCGUAAUGAUUUGGGCACUGUCUCAACAGCCCGCCCGGCGAAAUUGUAGUACCGGUGAAGAUGCCGGUUACCCGCGACAAGACGGAAAGACCCCAUGGAGCUUUACUGUAGCCUAAUAUUGGGUUUCGAUGUUGCAUGCACAGGAUAGAUGGGACACAGGGAAACAAGUGCUUUGGCAUUUGUGGAGUGGCCGUUGGGAUACCAUCCUUGCGAUAUUGGAAUUCUAACCUGCGCCUUUGAAUCAAGGCGGGGGACAUUGUUAGGUGGGCAGUUUGACUGGGGCGGUCGCCUCCAAAAGAGUAACGGAGGCGCUCAAAGGUUCGUUCAGCACGGACGGAAAUCGUGCAUUGAGUGUAAACGCAUAAACGAGCCUAACUGCGAGACCGACGGGUCGAGCAGUAACGAAAGUUGGAGUUAGUGAUCCGGUGGUAUGUGAGUGGAAAUGCCAUCGCUCAACGGAUAAAAGCUACCCUGGGGAUAACAGGCUGAUCUCCCCCAAGAGUCCACAUCGACGGGGAGGUUUGGCACCUCGAUGUCGGCUCAUCGCAUCCUGGGGCUGUAUUCGGUCCCAAGGGUUUGGCUGUUCGCCAAUUAAAGCGGCACGCGAGCUGGGUUCAGAACGUCGUGAGACAGUUCGGUCCCUAUCUGUUGCGGGCGUAAGAGAUUUGAAGGGAGCUGUCCUUAGUACGAGAGGACCGGGAUGGACGUACCUCUGGUGCACCAGUUGUCCUGCCAAGGGCAUAGCUGGGUAGCUAUGUACGGACGAGAUAAACGCUGAAAGCAUCUAAGCGUGAAACUCCCCCUAAGAUGAGAUCUCUCAUCCUUCAAGGAGUAAGGACCCAGAAAGACGAUCUGGUUGAUAGGCCGAAGGUGGAAGCGCAGUAAUGUGUGGAGCUGAUCGGUACUAAUAGUCCGAGGGCUUGACCUA
This 1014-nucleotide ribosomal RNA is filed under the name human gut metagenome. RNAcentral's name for it is "bacterial LSU rRNA". It matches the Rfam family "Bacterial large subunit ribosomal RNA", at positions 1913 to 2925 of the family's 2925-position model. The record is from RNAcentral.